RNAcentral lists this ribosomal RNA (442 nucleotides) under uncultured bacterium. RNAcentral describes it as "bacterial SSU rRNA". It matches the Rfam family "Bacterial small subunit ribosomal RNA", at positions 338 to 795 of the family's 1533-position model. The record is from RNAcentral.
CCUACGGGGGGCACCAGCAAGGAGUUUUCCGCAAUGGGCGCAAGCCUGACGGAGCAACGCCGCGUGGGGGAUGACACCUUUCGGGGCGUAAACCCCUUUUCUUGGGGACGAAGCAGUGACGGUACCCGAGGAAGAAGGCCCGGCUAACUACGUGCCAGCAGCCGCGGUAAUACGUAGGGGCCGAGCGUUGUCCGGAGUUACUGGGCGUAAAGCGCGCGCAGGCGGCUCGUCAAGCCUGACGUGAAAGCCCCCGGCUCAACCGGGGAGGGUCGUCGGGGACUGGCGGGCUUGAGGUCGGCAGGGGUUGGUGGAAUUCCCGGUGUAGCGGUGAAAUGCGUAGAGAUCUGAAGGAAUACCAGUGGCGAAGGCGGCCCCCUGGACAAAGACUGACGCUCAGAUGCGAAAGCGUGGGGAGCAAACAGGAUUAGAUACCCGCGUAGUC